UGGGCGCAGCCUGAUGCAGCCAUGCCGCGUGUGUGAAGAAGGCCUUCGGGUUGUAAAGCACUUUCAGUCAGGAGGAAAGGUUAGUAGUUAAUACCUGCUAGCUGUGACGUUACUGACAGAAGAAGCACCGGCUAACUCCGUGCCAGCAGCCGCGGUAAUACGGAGGGUGCGAGCGUUAAUCGGAAUUACUGGGCGUAAAGCGUACGCAGGCGGUUUGUUAAGCGAGAUGUGAAAGCCCCGGGCUCAACCUGGGAACUGCAUUUCGAACUGGCAAACUAGAGUGUGAUAGAGGGUGGUAGAAUUUCAGGUGUAGCGGUGAAAUGCGUAGAGAUCUGAAGGAAUACCGAUGGCGAAGGCAGCCACCUGGGUCAACACUGACGCUCAUGUACGAAAGCGUGGGGAGCAAACAGGAUUAGAUACCCUGGUAGUCCACGCCGUAAACGAUGUCUACUAGAAGCUCGGAUCUUCGGUUUUGUUUUUCAAAGCUAACGCAUUAAGUAGACCGCCUGGGGAGUACGGCCGCAAGGUUAAAACUCAAAUGAAUUGACGGGGGCCCGCACAAGCGGUGGAGCAUGUGGUUUAAUUCGAUGCAACGCGAAGAACCUUACCUACACUUGACAUACAGAGAACUUACCAGAGAUGGUUUGGUGCCUUCGGGAACUCUGAUACAGGUGCUGCAUGGCUGUCGUCAGCUCGUGUUGUGAAAUGUUGGGGUUAAGUCCCGCAACGAGCGCAACCCCUAUCCUUAGUUGCUAGCAGGUAAUGCUGAGAACUCUAAGGAGACUGCCGGUGAUAAACCGGAGAAGUGGGACGACGUCAGUCAUCAUGGCCCUUA
RNAcentral lists this ribosomal RNA (835 nucleotides) under Pseudoalteromonas sp. HDC58. RNAcentral's name for it is "bacterial SSU rRNA". It matches the Rfam family "Bacterial small subunit ribosomal RNA", at positions 372 to 1204 of the family's 1533-position model. The record is from RNAcentral. Lineage: Bacteria; Pseudomonadati; Pseudomonadota; Gammaproteobacteria; Alteromonadales; Pseudoalteromonadaceae.